RNAcentral lists this long non-coding RNA (402 nucleotides) under Amphimedon queenslandica. RNAcentral's name for it is "uncharacterized LOC109586848". The record is from RNAcentral. Lineage: Eukaryota; Metazoa; Porifera; Demospongiae; Haplosclerida; Niphatidae.
GCUCGGGCACGGGAAAUGGCCGGGUAAAACCGGGCUGCCCCGGACUGGGGCUUCACCUAUUUUCAUGGAAUAAGGACUGAUAUGGAGCUAGGAAGCCAUGAAUCCCCCUUGACUAAUGCUGGGAACAAGGCCGCUCUACUCCCAUCUGUCUUCUAAGUCCACUUUAACUCUCUCAUUUUUAUUUGUGAUUUUAUUUGCUGUCAUUGUUAUCUUAAUUCUCAUUUUCCUUGAUUGUUGAUUUAUUUUUAUUUAUUUAUAUUUAUUACUAUUAUUUUUACUGUUGAUCAUUAUUCAUUUCCACUUUUCUUUUUGUUUUCCAGGGGCCAUAGCAGUUCAGUCUUGCUGGGAUGUCUGUGCUAUUAUCAAACUUACUCAAUUUGGUUUAUUGUAAUUAAAAUUAUA